Zootoca vivipara (common lizard) is the source of this 1539-nucleotide non-coding RNA. The record is from the annotation of a RefSeq genome assembly. NCBI's taxonomy places the organism in Eukaryota, Metazoa, Chordata, Lepidosauria, Squamata, Lacertidae.
CAUAACAACUACAUAAAAUGCAAAUAACCCUCAUAGGCUAGCCUAAAAGGAAAGGGAAUUGUUUUUGUUUCCCCUUUCCUGGACUACAGCGUCCUUUUUGAGAUGGGGUGAGACUAUCUUGUAGGUGGAGCUUCCUUCAGCUGCUCAGAGACAACCCAAAUUCCUAGACCGGAGCCAGCGAUUAAACAUCUCUGCUAGUCAUCACUGGGUGAGGGUGUGAGAGAGAGGAAUAUCUUGAUACCUCUGUACAAAUUUAAGGGUCUCAUUCCACACAAAACAUGUUAACAACCCCAGUUUGGGUUGCACAGGGAGGACUACUGAACUCCUGUUUCUAAGAGAGCUUUGUUGCGUUCAUAUAGACAGAACCAGACUGCUGGUGCCAGGGAAGGAAGCCGAUAUAUUACAGUCACAUAAAAGCCACAUUCGACACUUGCAAAGAGCUCAGAGAUGUGGAUCAACUGGUGCGUGGCUAUGUGCUUCUUAAAAUUCAGAUUCUCAAAUGCUGAGAUCACCCAGCCAUGGAGCUUGGUGCUGCAGGAAAACAAAACUGCACGGAUUGUGUGCGAACAAAAAUAUCAGCACAACAUCAUGCUCUGGUACCGCCAGGGUGCUGAGCCAGGUCUGCAGCUCCUCUUCCACUACUAUUAUGCCCAGCAACAGCCUGCAGGCAAUGUUUCUGACCGGUUCACAGCUGAUAUGCCCAACGCUGAUCGCUUGAUCCUGAAUAUUUCCCCUGCAAAGCCAGAAGAUUCAGCUGUGUAUUUCUGUGCGUCAGCAGAAACACAGCAGUUCAAAGUUACCUCUCCUUCCUACAAAAUCCUCUGUGUGUCCUCAUCACUCUGCCUGUGUGGGCAACUGUGCUUGAGUAGUACGAUUCAAUUUACCGUGUAUGGACCUGUUGUGUAUUGAGUCAAAGGAUUUUAUAUCUGUAUUACUAUUGUCUGCAUUUGCAUUAGGGUAAAGUAACUGCCUUUUGGUUCCAGAAGGUACAGCUACUAUUGGUUCAUUUAAGCUGCUGUUUUUGGAUCCUCUGUCUUAUUGGUUUCCUCCAAAAGGCAGCACUGUGAUUGCCUGAUAUUGUUCCUUCCAAAAUGCAGUGGUACCUUGGUUUACAAACACAAUUGGUUCCGGAAGUCUGUACUUAACCUGAAGCGAACUUUCCCAUUGAAAGUAAUGGAAAGUGGAUUAAUCUGUUCCAGACGGGUCCGCGGAGUACUCAACCUGAAGCGUACUUAACCCGAAGUAUGAGUGUAACUGGUUCCGGAAGUCUGUACUUAACCUGAAGCGUACUUAACCAGAAGCGAACUUUCCUAUUGAAAGUAAUGGAAAGUGGAUUAAUCCAUUCCAGACAUGUCCGCGGAGUACAUAAACUGAAAGUACUCAAACCGAGGCGUACUUAAACCGAGGUAUGACUGUGUAUCCCUUUCUAGCUAGUCCCCUGUCCCUAUAAAUGUAGCUUUCCUCUCCUCAGAGUUCAGUCUUGUUUACUUUAAUAAAGAAGUGUAACUAGAGAACUGUCUCCAGCAUAUUAUGUCAAGA